Molecule: long non-coding RNA, 2502 nt
Filed under: Homo sapiens (human)
Lineage: Eukaryota; Metazoa; Chordata; Mammalia; Primates; Hominidae
Description: HSALNT0375909
Source: RNAcentral
AGCGAAGGGGUGGGGUGGGAUCUUGGUCCAGCUGGUACUGGAGCGGCGACAAUUUUGGCUAGUCUAAGAAGGGCAUUCGAGUGACCGUUGACAACGGGUGGGACAGCGUCAGAGCUGGAGGGAGAGCCAGCACUGUAUGCUUCCAGGACUUCUUGCUAGGUGCAUUAGUUUUUAUUUUUAAGAGUUGGGUAAAAGACAUUAAUUAGUUAGCAUCUCACUCAUCGGCGAUUUUCUACGGUAUGAUUUCAUCCAAAGAGGAUUUCUUAAUCGCACUGUGUGACACCGUUAGGGGACUUAGAGUGUCACUCGCCGCCUUAAAUCCUUUCGGGAACAAGCCAGGAUAUAAAUAAAUAAAGCUAGGUGUGGGUCUUCCCUUCACAAGGCGCUGGUAGGCAGACUAAAGACAGGCAACAGCUGAGUGUGCACACAGAACUAAAUAUUGAACGAAAUACGAGUGUCGGAAUAAAAUUCAUUGCCAUGUGCACGGCUUAUGAUUAUACAGAUCUUGGACAUAUCACGGACCUGAACGUCAACCCUGCAACACCGGAUAAAACAUCUAAUGUAGCUGGAAUAGACUCUGAAAGGACGUUAGGCAUUAUCUAAAUCAAGUCCCUCAUUUUACAGAUGAGUAAACUGACUCAGUGAAGUAUUUUGCUCAAGGUCGUUCAUCAAAUUAGUAGUUUAAUUAACUCAGUGUUCUAGGAAGCAGGGUAGUAGAAAAGCAUGGGAUUCGGAGUCUGAAAUCUUCCUUGGUUUCUGGUCCUUGUAGGCUGUUUUACAAGUGUAUCUUGGGCAAAUCCCUUAACGUCUUGCCAUUUAUUAAGGGCUUACUUACCACGUGGCAAACAAUCCACUUUGCAUGCUGUGUCAAUUACAUGCAGUAUGUCGUGUAGUUAUUACUGUCCCCAUUUUAUGAGGUAGUUUAGGUUUAAAGAUAUUAGAAAUUUACCCAAAGUUACGCAGUUAUAAACAUUGUAGUAAUUUCAAACUCAGGUCUUCGUGACUGCAAAGGCUGCUGUCUUAAGUAUUGUAAUACAUUAGAGCUCCGGAUUCCCUCCCACUCAAAACAGAGACUGAGACUCCAACCAAUUUCCACCAUUAUUGGGAGUCAAACGAGAGAGACUGUGGCAAUGUAUUCUAAGCUGUACAAAGGUAUAAACAUAUUCACUAGAUUUGUAGAAUGAAGUUAUUCCUUCCCUAUACUUUCCACUACAACAAUUCAGCCAAAAAGAUGGCUUUCAUACUAAGCAUAAGAAGGAACUUCACUGUAAUUAUGAUAUUCUAACCAAGAAUAUAUGCAUAUCUAGGCAAUAACCAAAGUGAAUAGAAUAAAAUUUAAUUCCUGAUAGAUUAAAUAGGCAAUAGCAAGGAAUGCUAACGCUCCUCAUAGCGUUCUUGUUGGAAGAAUCAUCUAGGAGGCAUUGGGAUUUCUGGUGCUUUUUAAGCAAUGAGAGAUAUCAGUCCACUGAAUGAGGAAGAGAAUAACGUUUAGUUUCGGACUAAAAGUUCAUCUGGACUACGGAAAACACGUUUGCCUCAAUCAGUGAAGAAGGUAUGCUGAGAGCUGAAAGAAAAGGAAAGCAGCAACAGUGAGAGCUCAGAAAUUCCCAGACUGUUUUGAUGAUAAGGUCCAAGAACUUGCCAUGUGAUCCAUCACUACUAGACUCCCACAACUGCAUUAGAUUUGUUCAGGAUUUUCAUAUAAUUUUCAUAACUGGCUAAGGGUAACUUGGUCACAAAAAAUGAAACAUUGUUGUAAGAAUGUAUCAAGGAAAGUGGAGCGAAAGGCCAGUAGGAAAACCAAGACUCUCUGGAGAAGUCAACAGGGCAUAGCUAAAUUUUAUACAGGGGCCAUGUUGAAUGUGAAAGACAACGUGUUCAAAACUGCGCUCAUAUUCAAUGAUUCUGAAAUAACCCAUCUUGAAGACAUAAACAAUGUGCAUUGAUGGCUAGCCAGACUCUGUCCUGCCACAGUUCUCCUCCUACUCUUCAUUUCUUACCCCAAGGAGUAGUAAACAUGAAUCCUGACCCACCAAUGCAGUCCCAGAACUGAGAAAAGAUUCACUGCAGCUAAACACAUUGGAAAUGGAUGGGGAGAAGGCCUGAUGAAAAUUACUGAGGAAGCCUCUUAGCCUAUGUGCUCUGAGAGUAGUGACACCUAGCAGUCGUUCAAAAGAUGAUCAAGAGGAGCAUGAAAAAAUCCCCUGAAUCCAUUGGCUUUCUUCCCUAUACUGACAACAGUUUACUUGUGUAAGAGAUGCAUGCCUCGACUCCGGACCCCUUCUUUCAUCUGCAAAAUCAGCAGCACCCUCACAUCAUCUCCUGUAACAAACUCUCUCUGUCUCCUCCAUAUAAGGUCACUGAUGGUUACAUUUAGGGUCCAUGAUAUAAGAAGAUGGAUGUCUAUUGCUUUUCUCUUGAUAUUCAUGGCACUGCUCCUCUCCAUCCAUAGGAUUAUCUUAUAGAUGAGGGUCUCAUCCUUUUGCCCAGGCUGGAGUACAG